AUUUAUAUAGUAUAAUAAGUACCUUUGACUUCCAAUCAAACUGUCUAACAAACCUUUAGUAUAAAUA
This 67-nucleotide transfer RNA is filed under the name Brumptomyia travassosi. Its description in RNAcentral is "tRNA-Gly". Lineage: Eukaryota; Metazoa; Arthropoda; Insecta; Diptera; Psychodidae. The record is from RNAcentral.